ACUCCUACGGGAGGCAGCAGUGGGGAAUAUUGGACAAUGGGGGAAACCCUGAUCCAGCAAUGCCGCGUGAGUGAUGAAGGCCUUCGGGUUGUAAAGCUCUUUUAUCAGGGAAGAUGAUGACGGUACCUGAUGAAUAAGCUCCGGCUAACUUCGUGCCAGCAGCCGCGGUAAUACGAAGGGAGCUAGCGUUGUUCGGAAUUACUGGGCGUAAAGGGCGCGUAGGCGGUACUAUAAGUUAGAUGUGAAAGCCCCGGGCUUAACCUGGGAACUGCAUUUAAUACUGUAGAACUAGAGGACGAGAGAGGAAAGUGGAAUUAUGAGUGUAGAGGUGAAAUUCGUAGAUAUUCAUAAGAACACCAGUGGCGAAGGCGACUUUCUGGCUCGUAUCUGACGCUAAGGCGCGAAAGCGUGGGGAGCAAACAGGAUUAGAUACCCUGGUAGUC
Molecule: ribosomal RNA, 443 nt
Filed under: uncultured bacterium
Lineage: Bacteria
Description: bacterial SSU rRNA
Rfam family: Bacterial small subunit ribosomal RNA
Source: RNAcentral